AAAGGAAUAGACGGGGACCCGCACAAGCAGCGGAGCAUGUGGUUUAAUUCGAAGCAACGCGAAGAACCUUACCAGGACUUGACAUGUCACUGACCGGUAUAGAGAUAUACUUUUCUCUUCGGAGACAGUGAACACAGGUGGUGCAUGGUUGUCGUCAGCUCGUGUCGUGAGAUGUUGGGUUAAGUCCCGUAACGAGCGCAACCCCUAUUUUUAGUUGCUAACAGCUAGGCUGAGCACUCUAGAGAGACUGCCGAUGAUAAAUCGGAGGAAGGUGGGGAUGACGUCAAAUCAUCAUGCCCUUUAUGUCCUGGGCUACACACGUGCUACAAUGGUCGGUACAACGAGAAGCCACUUAGUGAUAAGGCGCAAAUCUCUAAAAGCCGAUCCCAGUUCGGAUUGUAGGCUGCAACUCGCCUACAUGAAGUUGGAGUUGCUAGUAAUCGCAGAUCAGAAUGCUGCGGUGAAUGCGUUCCCGGGUCUUGUACACACCGCCCGU
RNAcentral lists this ribosomal RNA (496 nucleotides) under uncultured bacterium. RNAcentral's name for it is "bacterial SSU rRNA". It matches the Rfam family "Bacterial small subunit ribosomal RNA", at positions 903 to 1397 of the family's 1533-position model. The record is from RNAcentral.